UCGCCGCCGCUCCCCGGCCCUGCCCCGGCCUCCCGAGCCCCCCGCAGCAGGGGAGGCGGCAGCUCCGCGCUCCCCUCACCCACCGCAUCUUCACCCCCACCCGCGCCCACCUCCGGCCCGCUCAGGCCCGUUACCUGCUCGUCGAAGCGGCUGACCACGGCCUGGACCCAUUCCACCGGCCUGUGCGCGGCCAUGUCCUCCCCGCGGCCGGGGGACGGCGCUGAGUUCGUGUUGUUCUAAUUAUACUCAAAGCUAUGUCAUUUGGUUCAUCCCACCUUUGACACUAUUGACAAUCAGAGUUGGAUAUACUCUGCCAGGGAGUCACAGAUAAAAGCAAAGCAUGAAAAAAUUCCAUGGAGAACUGCUCAAGCAAACAGAAGUGUAAGUAUCAAAGUCCCAGCAUUGGCAGAAUCUUCCGGGAACUUGAGAAACACAGAUUACCUAGUCAAGAUGGACCUUCCAGACAGACUGAAAACUAAUAAUAGGUGGCUGGGGAGAUAGACCGUUGAGUUAAAGUGCUUGCUGCACAAGCCUGUGCCCUAAGAAAGCUGAAUGUGUUGGUGCGUGUCUGUAAUCCACCCAGCACUCCUACGCAAGGUGAGAGGUGAAGACAAGAGAAUUUCUCCAGAAGCUCCUGGGCUAGCCAACCUGGAGUACGCGGAACAGCAGAAACAGCAACAGAGACCCUGCCUCAACAAGUGGAGGGAGAGAACCAGCUCCACACAUUUGCUAUGGCAUACACAUGUGCAUGCACACCCACACCAUACAUACUAAUAUUUUUAAAAUAAAAGUAAUAAAAACUAACUAUAAGUAAACUAUCAUUAAUAUGCUAGUUGGAAGCACGGCUUUUCAGACAACUGAAUGAAUCCCAGCUCUACUUAUGGUGAAACUGGAAGCAAGUUAAUUAACCUGCUGUUUCUGUGCCUUCUCUUACAAAUCAAGGGCAUAAAUAUCCCCUGCCUCAGAGGGUCACCGUGAAGACUAACUGACAUAACACACAGGAGGUAGUUAGCACAGUGCUGGACAUGUUAUUUUCACUGUCUCUUGUAGUUUGCCACCAUUCUUUCACACAUAUUACCUGAAACAGCUGUAGUCGUUAUGGCAGAUUCCACAUAUAGAUCCACCUAACAUCCACUCUCUAACCCUUUCUGAGGCCCACCGUGGCUUCUACAUGUGGGCGGAGAUAUGCAGAGCACAGGUUCUAGGACUGAGAAGGUUAUUCAGAUGCAGCCACGUGCAGGUGGAUCUGUCGUCUUUUGGUAACAACCAUGGUGGAAGAGCUUUGGAAGUUCUAGUGCCCAGUUGGUGAGCAGCAGCAGUGGGAUUUCCAUGAAAACAUGCAUGUUACAGAUUAAACUUUUCUCCUGGGCUUGUGUCUGGUUGUCAGCAUCCUAGUCUGUUUUCCAAGCACUGCUGGCAAUCCUAUGAGCCACCUACCAUGGGGCUGUAAUCCUUUUCUGUUAAAAGUCAUGACAGUGAAUUCUGUUGUCUGCAACUAAGAGCAAAGUAAUUGCCAAAGCGAUAAAUAUGGUAAUUAUCAGAAUGGUCC
This is a long non-coding RNA of Nannospalax galili (Upper Galilee mountains blind mole rat), 1549 nucleotides long. RefSeq lists it as uncharacterized. The transcript is spliced from 3 exons. The record is from RefSeq and is a predicted model, not a curated record. Lineage: Eukaryota; Metazoa; Chordata; Mammalia; Rodentia; Spalacidae.